UCCCAUCAUCCUAGGACUUUAGGACCUACACAGCUCAAGCGGACCAUUCCUCCCCUUUUCUUGCUGCUUCCUGUGAAGUCGCCUGCCCUGGUAGGCCCGCCGCCCAGUUCCUCGGGUUCGGACCGCCUUUGCAGUGUAUUACGACCCCUUCCCGCCAAGACUCGGCGUGACUCAAUCUUACCGGCGCCUCUAUUCUUACCCUGCCAUUUUUAUCCGAUGCUAUGGUCCCGCAUCUCCGCCGUUUUUGAACGCUACGGCCGCCGCGUUUCCUUUCUUUCCACCCUUCCCCGGGUACUUUAUCCUACCCUUCUUGGGUA
Molecule: long non-coding RNA, 317 nt
Filed under: Brassica rapa (field mustard)
Lineage: Eukaryota; Viridiplantae; Streptophyta; Magnoliopsida; Brassicales; Brassicaceae
Description: long non-coding RNA (BRAP_LNC008528)
Source: RNAcentral